CUUCUGUUCCCUGCCAACCCUGGUCGUAAUCUUGUACACUCACACACACUACAGUACACACACUUCCUCAGUCCAAAAGACCAAAACCAAGCGAACCAAAAAUCAAGCAAACACAUACCUUCCGAUGUUGUCAUCGCCCAUACUUGUCUCCCUCACUUUCUUCAUUUCCCUCCCUCUCGUCCUACUCUUCUCCCCACAAUUCCUCACCACCUCUUACCUCCCCUUCACCUCCGACACUCACGACCACACCCUCUUCCGCCGCGCCAGCGUCACCGCUGCUCACACCACCACCACCACCACAAACAACCCCAAAAUUGCCUUCCUCUUCCUCACAAACUCCAACCUCUCCUUUGCCCCCCUGUGGGAGAAAUUCUUCUCCGGCCAUCGCCAUCUCUUCAACAUCUACAUCCACGCGGACCCGUCCUCCACCGUCGCCGAUCCUGGCGGCGUCUUUCGACGCCGCUUCAUCCCUUCCAAGAAAACCAACCGCGCCUCACCUUCCCUCAUAUCUGCCGCCCGCCGCCUCUUGGCAUCCGCCCUCAUCGACGAUCCCCACAACCAAUAUUUCGCCCUCGUCUCCCAACGCUGUGUUCCUCUAUUGUCGUUUCGAUUCGUUUACAGUUACUUAUUUUGCAACUCAAUCCACUCCAGUUUCAUAGAGAUACUCUCCAACGAGACCAACCUGUAUGACAGGUAUGUAGCUCGUGGAGAAAACGCCAUGCUGCCGGAAGUGCCGUACGAGGAAUUCCGGGUCGGGUCACAGUUCUUUGUCCUGGCCCGGAAGCAUGCGGCGGUUGUGGUGAGGGACAAGAAGCUGUGGAGGAAGUUCCGGCUUCCAUGCGUGACAGAGGAACCGUGUUACCCAGAGGAGCACUACUUUCCGACGCUGCUGUCCAUGGAGGACAGGAAGGGGUGCACCGGAUUCACACUCACAAGGGUUAAUUGGACCGGUUGCUGGGACGGGCAUCCUCAUCUGUAUACGCCGUCGGAGGUUUCGCCGGGGCUCAUUCGCCGGCUAAGAGUGUCAAAUUCGAGCUACCCGUUCCUCUUCGCGAGAAAGUUCUCGCCGGAGUGUCUCGCGCCGCUUAUGGAAAUCGCUGAUGAUGUCAUUUUCCGGGACUGAAUUGACAUCGGACAAUCAAUACCAGCUUUAGCCACCUAAAGCGUGUGAACAGAUAGGAUGUCCAUAUUUCAAAGCAAAUUGGUUCCCUUUUACUCAGGAAUCUUUGAUGAGUUCGGGAAUACUAAAGACAUCUUAAUGUAAAAUGCCAAUGUCUUGGAGUCUUCUUGAUGUGUAUAGAAAAUUCGAUUGCUUUUUUAACUGUAAAGUGUAAUUGUAAUUCGAAUUUCAAGUGUGUGAAUGAACAAGGUGUUUUGGUAUGGCUGCAGAAAAAAGGCAAGGCUGGUCUCCAAAGGAGGCCUAAAUUGUCAAUUAAUGAGCAAUAGUUCAAUUGUAAA
Arachis duranensis is the source of this 1458-nucleotide RNA transcript. It is a transcript of the gene named glycosyltransferase BC10, with no coding region annotated. The transcript has 3 exons. NCBI's taxonomy places the organism in Eukaryota, Viridiplantae, Streptophyta, Magnoliopsida, Fabales, Fabaceae. The record is from RefSeq and is a predicted model, not a curated record.